GAUGAACGCUGGCGGCGUGCCUAAUACAUGCAAGUCGAGCGAACAGAUGAGGAGCUUGCUCCUCUGACGUUAGCGGCGGACGGGUGAGUAACACGUGUAUAACCUACCUAUAAGACUGGGAUAACUUCGGGAAACCGGAGCUAAUACCGGAUAAUAUAUUGAACCGCAUGGUUCAAUAGUGAAAUACGGUUUUGCUGUCACUUCUAGAUGGAUCUGCGCCGCAUUAGCUAGUUGGUAAGGUAACGGCUUACCAAGGCAACUAUGCGUAGCCGACCGGCGAGGGUGAUCGGCCACACUGGAACGGAGACACGGUCCAGACUCCUACGGGAGGCAGCAGUAGGGAAUCUUCCGCAAUGGGCGAAAGCUUGACGGAGCAACGCCGCGUGAGUGAUGGAGGUCUUCGGAUCGUAAAACUCUGUUAUUAGGGAAGAACAAAUGUGUAAGUAACUAUGCACGUCUUGACGGUACCUAAUCAGAAAGCCACGGCUAACUACGUG
RNAcentral lists this ribosomal RNA (497 nucleotides) under uncultured bacterium. RNAcentral's name for it is "partial 16S ribosomal RNA". It matches the Rfam family "Bacterial small subunit ribosomal RNA", at positions 28 to 507 of the family's 1533-position model. The record is from RNAcentral.